CUCCUACGGGAGGCAGCAGUGGGGAAUAUUGGACAAUGGGCGAAAGCCUGAUCCAGCAAUGCCGCGUGAGUGAUGAAGGCCUUAGGGUUGUAAAGCUCUUUCGGGUGGGACGAUGAUGACGGUACCACCAGGAGAAGCCCCGGCUAACUUCGUGUCAGCCGCCGCGGUAAUAC
RNAcentral lists this ribosomal RNA (173 nucleotides) under uncultured bacterium. RNAcentral's name for it is "partial 16S ribosomal RNA". It matches the Rfam family "Bacterial small subunit ribosomal RNA", at positions 336 to 526 of the family's 1533-position model. The record is from RNAcentral.